GGAAUAUUGCACAAUGGGGGAAACCCUGAUGCAGCGAUGCCGCGUGGAGGAAGAAGGUUUUCGGAUUGUAAACUCCUUUUGUCAGGGAAGAUAAUGACUGUACCUGACGAAUAAGCUCCGGCUAACUACGUGCCAGCAGCCGCGGUAAUACGUAGGGAGCGAGCGUUGUCCGGAAUUACUGGGUGUAAAGGGAGCGUAGGCGGGAUGGUAAGUCAGGUGUGAAAUGUAUGGGCUCAACCUGUAAAUUGCACUUGAAGCUGCUGUUCUUGAGUGAAGUAGAGGUAAGCGGAAUUCCCGGUGUAGCGGUGAAAUGCGUAGAUAUCGGGAGGAACAUCGGUGGCGAAGGCGGCUUACUGGGCUUUUACUGACGCUGAGGCUCGAAAGCGUGGGGAGCAAACA
RNAcentral lists this ribosomal RNA (399 nucleotides) under uncultured Ruminococcus sp. Its description in RNAcentral is "bacterial SSU rRNA". It matches the Rfam family "Bacterial small subunit ribosomal RNA", at positions 358 to 774 of the family's 1533-position model. Lineage: Bacteria; Bacillati; Bacillota; Clostridia; Eubacteriales; Oscillospiraceae. The record is from RNAcentral.